Molecule: long non-coding RNA, 493 nt
Filed under: Hordeum vulgare
Lineage: Eukaryota; Viridiplantae; Streptophyta; Magnoliopsida; Poales; Poaceae
Description: long non-coding RNA (HVUL_LNC013281)
Source: RNAcentral
ACGGAGGUCAUCGCCGUGGCAACAUGUAUGAAAGAACAUAUGCUCCCUUGGUGGUUUUGAUAAUUCAUGACAACAUACAUUGUCUCUUGGACUAACACUUUUACCUAGUAUAUUUCAGGUGUAGUCCACAUCGAGCUUCGGCUAUAGGAUUGUGUGGAGAUGGCCCUUUGAUUAAGGAAGGAUAUGAUUGGCUCAAGCUUCAAGCAAGAAGACUCUACAUUUUACAUUUGUGAAAAAUCACUUUGAGUCCAUAGGAAAGCCAAUAUAUUUAAAGGGGAUGAGGUGUUAAGAUGAAUUUGUUGGAAUUAUGCCCUAGAGGCAAUAAUAAAUAUAGUUAUUAUUAUAAUUCCUGUAUCAAGAUAAUCGUUUAUUAUCCAUGCUAUAAUUGUAUUGAAUGAAGACUCAUUUACAUGUGUGGAUACAUAGACAAAACACUGUCCCUAGCAAGCCUCUAGUUGGCUAGCUAGUUGACCAAAGAUAGUCAGUGUCUUCU